GAUGAACGCUGGCGGCGUGCCUAAUACAUGCAAGUCGAGCGAACAGACGAGGAGCUUGCUCCUCUGAUGUUAGCGGCGGACGGGUGAGUAACACGUGGAUAACCUACCUAUAAGACUGGGAUAACUUCGGGAAACCGGAGCUAAUACCGGAUAACAUGUUGAACCGCAUGGUUCAACAGUGAAAGACGGUCUUGCUGUCACUUAUAGAUGGAUCCGCGCCGCAUUAGCUAGUUGGUAAGGUAACGGCUUACCAAGGCAACGAUGCGUAGCCGACCUGAGAGGGUGAUCGGCCACACUGGAACUGAGACACGGUCCAGACUCCUACGGGAGGCAGCAGUAGGGAAUCUUCCGCAAUGGGCGAAAGCCUGACGGAGCAACGCCGCGUGAGUGAAGAAGGUCUUCGGAUCGUAAAACUCUGUUAUUAGGGAAGAACAAAUGUGUAAGUAACUAUGCACGUCUUGACGGUACCUAAUCAGAAAGCGACGGCUAACUACGUG
This 497-nucleotide ribosomal RNA is filed under the name uncultured bacterium. Its description in RNAcentral is "partial 16S ribosomal RNA". It matches the Rfam family "Bacterial small subunit ribosomal RNA", at positions 28 to 507 of the family's 1533-position model. The record is from RNAcentral.